RNAcentral lists this ribosomal RNA (316 nucleotides) under uncultured Bacillota bacterium. RNAcentral's name for it is "bacterial SSU rRNA". It matches the Rfam family "Bacterial small subunit ribosomal RNA", at positions 28 to 351 of the family's 1533-position model. Lineage: Bacteria; Bacillati; Bacillota. The record is from RNAcentral.
GACGAACGCUGGCGGCGUGCCUAACACAUGCAAGUCGAGCGAGAGACUUCGGUCUCUAGCGGCGGACGGGUGAGUAACACGUGGGUAACCUGCCUAAUAGAGGGGGAUAGCCUUCCGAAAGGAAGAUUAAUACCGCAUAAGAAGUAAAUGUCGCAUGACAAAAGCUUUAAAGGAGCAAUCCGCUAUUAGAUGGGCCCGCGGCGCAUUAGCUAGUUGGUGAGGUAACGGCUCACCAAGGCGACGAUGCGUAGCCGACCUGAGAGGGUGAUCGGCCACAUUGGAACUGAGAUACGGUCCAGACACCUACGGGAGGCAG